AAUAAAUUCUCUAACACU
RNAcentral lists this transfer RNA (18 nucleotides) under Mannophryne sp. 'Guatopo'. Its description in RNAcentral is "partial tRNA-Phe". The record is from RNAcentral. Lineage: Eukaryota; Metazoa; Chordata; Amphibia; Anura; Aromobatidae.